UACGGGGGGUGCGAGCGUUGUCCGGAAUCACUGGGCGUAAAGGGCGCGUAGGUGGUUUGAUAAGGGUGUGGUGAAAGCCCGGGGCUCAACCCCGGGUCUGCCGUGCCGACUGUCAAACUCGAGGGCUGUAGAGGCAGACGGAAUUCCGGGUGUAGCGGUGGAAUGCGUAGAGAUCCGGAGGAAGACCGGUGGCGAAGGCGGCGUCCUGGACCAACACUGACACUGAGGAGCGAAAGCCAGGGGAGCAAACGGG
Molecule: ribosomal RNA, 253 nt
Filed under: uncultured bacterium
Lineage: Bacteria
Description: partial 16S ribosomal RNA
Rfam family: Bacterial small subunit ribosomal RNA
Source: RNAcentral